Molecule: long non-coding RNA, 505 nt
Organism: Xenia sp. Carnegie-2017
Lineage: Eukaryota; Metazoa; Cnidaria; Anthozoa; Malacalcyonacea; Xeniidae
Exons: 3
Source: RefSeq, a predicted model, not a curated record
AGAAUCUGACACUAAAUGAAGAUGAUCGAUGAAAAACAAAUGAAUGAUGCCACACAACGUUAUUCGAGAUAAGAAAAUUUUUUCAAUCAGUUUCAAGAAGAAUUGUCAUCUGACCGCCCGCUGGCCUCACCUCGUUUUAGCAAUCUUUCCUCCAAAACAGCCUCCGAACACUCAAAGAACACCACUUUGUUACAUUCUGCAAUCUUCAAAAUAUUUAUCUUUUCGAAAAUGGCAUUCUUUUGAAAAAAGUAAUCAAAAGUGCUCGGGUGGGAAAAAAAUCCAGACAGAUUUAUCCACACGGAAGUGCGUACCUUCAAUAUAAAUCUGACCAACGCCAAGCCAAUCCAUUAUAAAGUAAAUGGUUUGAACCCGGGAGUAUCGUUACAUGUUUGUAAAUGUAGAUAGUCCAGGUUGGUACAAGCAAGUCCAGAUCGUCCAACCCAUUAUGUUCAAUACAACGCAACAUCGACUAAUAAUAAUAAAUAAAAAGUACCUCGCUUUCAAA